UACGUAGGUGACCAGCGUUGUCCGGAUUUACUGGGCGUAAAGAGCGCGCAGGCGGUCGUUUAAGUCGAGUGUGAAAGCCCCCGGCUCAACUGGGGAGGGUCAUUCGAUACUGAUCGACUCGAAGGCAGGAGAGGGAAGCGGAAUUCCCGGUGUAGUGGUGAAAUGCGUAGAUAUCGGGAGGAACACCAGUGGCGAAGGCGGCUUCCUGGCCUGUUCUUGACGCUGAGGCGCGAAAGCUAGGGGAGCAAACGGG
RNAcentral lists this ribosomal RNA (253 nucleotides) under uncultured bacterium. Its description in RNAcentral is "partial 16S ribosomal RNA". It matches the Rfam family "Bacterial small subunit ribosomal RNA", at positions 524 to 776 of the family's 1533-position model. The record is from RNAcentral.